This 412-nucleotide long non-coding RNA is filed under the name Brassica napus (rape). RNAcentral describes it as "long non-coding RNA (BNAP_LNC026702)". Lineage: Eukaryota; Viridiplantae; Streptophyta; Magnoliopsida; Brassicales; Brassicaceae. The record is from RNAcentral.
AGUUUUAUGAUUUAAGGUGUUGAUGUUGUAAUAUGAGGUUUAGGGUUAAAAUUUAGUGUUUUGGAUUAAGAUUGGAAAAUAAUAGAUUUGAAUACUAGAAGAUUUGUAGUUAAAUAUUUAAUAAUUUAGAUUUGAAGUUUAUAUUUAGAGUAUUGAAUGUUUAGUUUACGUUUGAAGUUAAGAUUUAAGAUAUAGAAUUUGAUUAAAGAUUAAAGAUAUGUGUUUAGGAAAUUAUAGAUUAAGAUUAAAAAGAUUAAAUUUUGAUUUUAAUUUUAAGAUUUGAAGUUAUAGUAUGAAAAGAUUAGAGGUUUAAAGGUUGUCUUUAAAGUUUAGGGUUUAAAACAAUGUUUAGAGUUUAAAACAUGUUUAGAGUUUAGGGGUUCAAAGAGCUUUUCUUAGCAUUAUAAAAAUG